Molecule: transfer RNA, 76 nt
Filed under: Xylella fastidiosa subsp. multiplex
Lineage: Bacteria; Pseudomonadati; Pseudomonadota; Gammaproteobacteria; Lysobacterales; Lysobacteraceae
Also listed under: 2 other names
Description: tRNA-Lys
Rfam family: tRNA
About the family: Transfer RNA (tRNA) molecules are approximately 80 nucleotides in length. Their secondary structure includes four short double-helical elements and three loops (D, anti-codon, and T loops).
Source: RNAcentral
GGGCCGUUAGCUCAGUCGGUAGAGCAUCGGACUUUUAAUCCGUUGGUCGCUGGUUCGAUUCCAGCACGGCCCACCA